This 479-nucleotide ribosomal RNA is filed under the name uncultured bacterium. Its description in RNAcentral is "bacterial SSU rRNA". It matches the Rfam family "Bacterial small subunit ribosomal RNA", at positions 1 to 464 of the family's 1533-position model. The record is from RNAcentral.
GGUACUCGCGAAUGCCUCUAGAUUAGAGUUUGAUCAUGGCUCAGACUUGAACGCUGGCGGCAGGCUUAACACAUGCAAGUCGAGCGGGGAAGGGUAGCUUGCUACCUAACCUAGCGGCGGACGGGUGAGUAAUGCUUAGGAAUCUGCCAUUUAGUGGGGGACAACAUUCCGAAAGGAAUGCUAAUACCGCAUACGUCCUACGGGAGAAAGCAGGGGAUCUUCGGACCUUGCGCUAAAUGAUGAGCCUAAGUCGGAUUAGCUAGUUGGUGGGGUAAAGGCCUACCAAGGCGACAAUCUGUAGCGGGUCUGAGAGGAUGAUCCGCCACACUGGGACUGAGACACGGCCCAGACUCCUACGGGAGGCAGCAGUGGGGAAUAUUGGACAAUGGGCGGAAGCCUGAUCCAGCCAUGCCGCGUGUGUGAAGAAGGCCUUUUGGUUGUAAAGCACUUUAAGCGAGGAGGAGGCUACUAGUACUAAU